Molecule: ribosomal RNA, 834 nt
Filed under: Triticum aestivum (bread wheat)
Lineage: Eukaryota; Viridiplantae; Streptophyta; Magnoliopsida; Poales; Poaceae
Description: partial small subunit ribosomal RNA
Source: RNAcentral
AUGGCGCCGCCGCGUGUGCGGGAGCCGGGGGAGAUGUACGAGCUCGUGGAGGAGGUCCUGAUCCGCAUCCCGCCGGACGACCCCGCGGGCCUCAUCCGCGCCUCCCUCGUCUGCAAGGCUUGGUGCGGCCUCGUCUCCGGCCACGCCUUUCGCAGCCACUACCGCGUCUUCCACAAAACACCUCCCAUCCUAGGCUUCCUACAGAGCUGGGAGGAGGAAGGCCAGCGCUUCGUCCCCACCACAAGAUUCCGUCCCCGCAAUUGCAAGCCGUUGGACAGUUCUGUGCUCGGUUGCCGCCAUGGCCGCGUUCUUCUUAUGUGUUACUACGAUGGGUAUGCGGAUGCGGAUGAGAAUGAGGAGGAAGAUUAUUACGAGGAAUAUGAAGCGAUGGUAGUCUGGGACCCCUUGUCUGGGAGACGAACUAAGUUGCACAAUCCUGACAUCUUCAACCCCCUCAUCAACGGGACAAACUAUUCGGCCACGGUGCUCUGCGCGGCAGAUGGCUGCAACCAUGACGCCUGCAACUUGGCCCCAUUUUUGGUGGCUUUUGUUGUCCUUGACUACAAAGUGACCGAAAGAAGGCCGUGUGGGCGUCUGUAUACUCAUCAGAGACCCAGGAGUGGACCUCACCGGCCUCUAUUCACGUCGGCUCUGUUGGAACACUUGGAGCCGGUAUGGCCUGGUGUCCUCGUUGGACAAGCGCUCCACUUCCUCAUUGAUCGUUAUGAGGGGGACGGUUGUAUUAUCAAGUGUGACUUGGGUAGUCAUCGCCUAUCACUCUGUGUGUGUUUAUGCGAAACCCUCUCCUCAUUUUGUCAGAAGACGGUAGGCUAG